Molecule: ribosomal RNA, 484 nt
Filed under: uncultured bacterium
Lineage: Bacteria
Description: partial 16S ribosomal RNA
Rfam family: Bacterial small subunit ribosomal RNA
Source: RNAcentral
AUUGAACGCUGGCGGAAUGCUUUACACAUGCAAGUCGAGCGGCAGCACGGGGGCAACCCUGGUGGCGAGCGGCGAACGGGUGAGUAAUACAUCGGAACAUGCCCAGUCGUGGGGGAUAACACUUCGAAAGAAGUGCUAAUACCGCAUACGUCCUGAGGGGGAAAGCGGGGGAUCGCAAGACCUCGCGCGAUUGGAGUGGCCGAUUUCAGAUUAGCUAGUUGGUGGGGUAAAGGCCUACCAAGGCAACGAUCUGUAGCUGGUCUGAGAGGAUGAUCAGCCACACUGGGACUGAGACACGGCCCAGACUCCUACGGGAGGCAGCAGUGGGGAAUUUUGGACAAUGGGGGCAACCCUGAUCCAGCCAUUCCGCGUGAGUGAAGAAGGCCUUCGGGUUGUAAAGCUCUUUCGGCAGGAACGAAACGGUGAGCUCUAACAUAGCUUGCUAAUGACGGUACCUGAAGAAGAAGCACCGGCUAACUACGUG